GUUUGAUCUUGGCUCAGGAUGAACGCUAGCGGCAGGCCUAAUACAUGCAAGUCGAACGGUAAGGCCCCUUCGGGGGGACACGAGGGGCGCACGGGUGAGUAACGCGUACGCAACCUACCUUUGACAGAGGGAUAGCCCCGAGAAAUUGGGAUUAAUACCUCAUAACAUUCCGACCUCGCAUGAGGAUGGAAUCAAAGUUCCGGCGGUCAAAGAUGGGCGUGCGACCCAUUAGCUUGUUGGUAAGGUAACGGCUUACCAAGGCUACGAUGGGUAGCUGGCGUGAGAGCGUGACCAGCCACACGGGCACUGAGACACGGGCCCGACUCCUAAGGGAGGCAGCAGUAGGGAAUAUUGGUCAAUGGAGGAAACUCUGAACCAGCCAUGCCGCGUGCAGGAUGACAGCCCUAUGGGUUGUAAACUGCUUUUAUAUACCAAGAAACGCAGGUACGUGUACCUGUCUGACGGUAGUAUAUGAAUAAGCACCGGCUAACUCCGUGCCAGCAGCCGCGGUAAUACGGAGGGUGCAAGCGUUAUCCGGAUUUAUUGGGUUUAAAGGGUUCGUAGGCGGGACUUUAAGUCAGUGGUGAAAGCCUAUAGCUCAACUAUAGAAUUGCCAUUGAUACUGAAGUUCUUGAGUACACUUGAAGUUAGCGGAAUGUAUCAUGUAGCGGUGAAAUGCAUAGAUAUGAUACAGAACACCGAUUGCGAAGGCAGCUAACUAAAUUGUCACUGACGCUGAGGAACGAAAGCGUGGGGAGCGAACAGGAUUUAGAUACCCUGGUAGUCCACGCUGUAAACGAUGAUCACUCGAUAUUGGCCUUUAUGGUCAGUGUCCAAGCGAAAGUAUUAAGUGAUCCACCUGGGGAGUACGACCGCAAGGUUGAAACUCAAAGGAAUUGACGGGGGCCCGCACAAGCGGUGGAGCAUGUGGUUUAAUUCGAUGAUACGCGAGGAACCUUACCAGGGUUUAAAUGCAGAACGAUCGUCCCCGAAAGGGGAUUUUCCUUCGGGACAUUUUACAAGGUGCUGCAUGGUUGUCGUCAGCUCGUGCCGUGAGGUGUUGGGUUAAGUCCCGCAACGAGCGCAACCCUCAUCCUUAGUUGCCAUCAGGUAAUGCUGGGGACUCUAAGGAAACUGCCCGUGCAAGCGGUGAGGAAGGUGGGGAUGACGUCAAAUCAUCAUGGCCUUUAUGCCUAGGGCUACACACGUGCUACAAUGAUAAGGACAAUGGGUUGCUACCUGGUGACAGGAUGCUAAUCUCAAAAACCUUAUCUCAGUUCGGAUUGAAGUCUGCAACUCGACUUCAUGAAGCUGGAAUCGCUAGUAAUCGCGCAUCAGCAAUGGCGCGGUGAAUACGUUCCCGGACCUUGUACACACCGCCCGUCAAGCCAUGGAAGUUGGGUGUGCCUGAAGACGAUAACCGUAAGGAGUCGUCCAAGGUAAAACCAAUGACUG
This 1455-nucleotide ribosomal RNA is filed under the name uncultured prokaryote. RNAcentral describes it as "partial 16S ribosomal RNA". It matches the Rfam family "Bacterial small subunit ribosomal RNA". The record is from RNAcentral.